RNAcentral lists this ribosomal RNA (776 nucleotides) under uncultured Neocallimastigales. RNAcentral's name for it is "partial large subunit ribosomal RNA". It matches the Rfam family "Eukaryotic large subunit ribosomal RNA", at positions 22 to 634 of the family's 3401-position model. Lineage: Eukaryota; Fungi; Neocallimastigomycota; Neocallimastigomycetes; Neocallimastigales. The record is from RNAcentral.
CAUAGCGACUAUCGUGGCAUAUCAAUAAGCGGAGGAAAAGAAACUAACAAGGAUUCCCUUAGUAACGGCGAGUGAAGCGGGAAGAGCUCAAAUUUGAAAUCUUCAAGGUUUUACCUUGACGAAUUGUAGUUUAAAGAAGUGUUUUCUGUUGGAGUUUUGGUAAAAGUUCUUUGGAAUAGGACAUCAUAGAGGGUGAGAAUCCCGUAUUUGACCGUUACUUUCCAGCUGUGUGAUACACUUUCAAAGAGUCGGAUUGUUUGGGAAUGCAGUCCAAGAUGGGUGGUAAAUUUCAUCUAAAGCUAAAUAUUGGCGAGAGACCGAUAGCGAACAAGUACCGUGAGGGAAAGAUGGAAAGAACUUUGAAAAGAGAGUUAAACAGUACGUGAAAUUGUCAAAAGGGAAGCGUUUGACACCAGUGUUGUUUUCUCGAAAAUCAAUUAAAAAUGAUGGGAUUUUGUGUUGUAUUGACUUUAUCAGCUUUCUGCACUUUUUUCUUAUCUUUUUUAAUGCACUUUUCGUUUAACAAGUCAACAUCAAUUUCUUUUGUUGUAAAAGAGUCAUUGGAAGGUGGCUUUCUUUUCGGAGAAAGUGUUUAUAGCCUUUGAUCUCUGCAAUCGGAGAGACUGAGGUCUGCAGCGUAGACUCUUCGGGGUUAGAUACAUUUGUGCUAAGCUAUAGCCUUUUAUAGACAACUUGUUGACUAUGAUUAGUCAUUGUAGCUUACUCGCUUAUGCUAUUUUACCUACGCUUAGGAUGUUGAUAGUCACAGCGUGUAC